UUAAUUGAAGAGUUUGAUCAUGGCUCAGAUUGAACGCUGGCGGCAGGCCUAACACAUGCAAGUCGAGCGGUAACAGAAAGAAAGCUUGCUUUCUUUGCUGACGAGCGGCGGACGGGUGAGUAAUGCCUGGGAAUAUACCCUGAUGUGGGGGAUAACUAUUGGAAACGAUAGCUAAUACCGCAUAAUCUCUUCGGAGCAAAGAGGGGGACCUUCGGGCCUCUCGCGUCAGGAUUAGCCCAGGUGGGAUUAGCUAGUUGGUGGGGUAAUGGCUCACCAAGGCGACGAUCCCUAGCUGGUCUGAGAGGAUGAUCAGCCACACUGGAACUGAGACACGGUCCAGACUCCUACGGGAGGCAGCAGUGGGGAAUAUUGCACAAUGGGGGAAACCCUGAUGCAGCCAUGCCGCGUGUAUGAAGAAGGCCUUCGGGUUGUAAAGUACUUUCAGUUGUGAGGAAGGCGUUAAAGUUAAUAGCUUUAGCGUUUGACGUUAGCAACAGAAGAAGCACCGGCUAACUCCGUGCCAGCAGCCGCGGUAAUACGGAGGGUGCGAGCGUUAAUCGGAAUUACUGGGCGUAAAGCGCAUGCAGGCGGUCUGUUAAGCAAGAU
Molecule: ribosomal RNA, 606 nt
Filed under: Photobacterium aquimaris
Lineage: Bacteria; Pseudomonadati; Pseudomonadota; Gammaproteobacteria; Vibrionales; Vibrionaceae
Description: bacterial SSU rRNA
Rfam family: Bacterial small subunit ribosomal RNA
Source: RNAcentral